GUGGGGAAUAUUGGACAAUGGGCGAAAGCCUGAUCCAGCCAUGCCGCGUGUGUGAAGAAGGUCUUCGGAUUGUAAAGCACUUUAAGUUGGGAGGAAGGGCAGUAAGUUAAUACCUUGCUGUUUUGACGUUACCGACAGAAUAAGCACCGGCUAACUUCGUGCCAGCAGCCGCGGUAAUACGAAGGGUGCAAGCGUUAAUCGGAAUUACUGGGCGUAAAGCGCGCGUAGGUGGUUUUGUAAGUUGGAGGUGAAAUCCCCGGGCUCAACCUGGGAACGGCCUCCAAAACUGCAUGACUAGAGUACGGUAGAGGGUAGUGGAAUUUCCUGUGUAGCGGUGAAAUGCGUAGAUAUAGGAAGGAACACCAGUGGCGAAGGCGACUACCUGGACUGAUACUGACACUGAGGUGCGAAAGCGUGGGGAGCAAACAGGAUAGAUACCCGAGUAGUCC
This 449-nucleotide ribosomal RNA is filed under the name uncultured bacterium. Its description in RNAcentral is "partial 16S ribosomal RNA". It matches the Rfam family "Bacterial small subunit ribosomal RNA", at positions 354 to 796 of the family's 1533-position model. The record is from RNAcentral.